RNAcentral lists this ribosomal RNA (429 nucleotides) under Bacteroidota bacterium. Its description in RNAcentral is "Bacteroidetes bacterium partial 16S ribosomal RNA". It matches the Rfam family "Bacterial small subunit ribosomal RNA", at positions 355 to 776 of the family's 1533-position model. Lineage: Bacteria; Pseudomonadati; Bacteroidota. The record is from RNAcentral.
UUGGGAAUCUUCGGCAAUGGGGGGAACCCUGACCGAGCAACGCCGCGUGAGUGAAGAAGGUAUUCGGAUCGUAAAGCUCUGUUGUUAAGGAAGAACGAGUGUGAGAAUGGAAAGUUCAUACUGUGACGGUACUUAACCAGAAAGGGACGGCUAACUACGUGCCAGCAGCCGCGGUAAUACGUAGGUCCCGAGCGUUGUCCGGAUUUAUUGGGCGUAAAGCGAGCGCAGGCGGUUAGAUAAGUCUGAAGUUAAAGGCAGUGGCUCAACCAUUGUAGGCUUUGGAAACUGUUUAACUUGAGUGCAGAAGGGGAAAGUGGAAUUCCAUGUGUAGCGGUGAAAUGCGUAGAUAUAGGGAGGAACACCGGUGGCGAAAGCGGCUCUCGGGUCUGUAACUGACGCGGAGGCUCGAAAGCGUGGGGAGCGAACAGG